This is a non-coding RNA of Sturnus vulgaris (Common starling), 376 nucleotides long. Lineage: Eukaryota; Metazoa; Chordata; Aves; Passeriformes; Sturnidae. The record is from RefSeq and is a predicted model, not a curated record.
GAGCUUCUUCCCGGUGGCUUUCGGGUUUUUGGGCUCGCUGGCAAACAUCCCCCUGCUGAGCCAGCUCCUGCAGAAAAUGGGGGACAGCGGCUCCAUGGUGUGACCUGACCAGUUCUGGGCCGAGUGGCUGCGAUGGGACAGGGUGAGAGAGCCCCAGGUCCGGCUGUCCCCAAGAGCUGGUGACUCUCUUGUCCCCAGGACCCUCGGAGGUGGCCAGAGCCACCCCCCAGCAGGGACAGUGUCCCCUCACUGUCCCAUGGAGCUCCUGAGCCAGGCUCCGGGCUCCAAGGGCUGUACCAGCCUGGAUUCUGGAAUUCUUGUUGUUAUUUAAUUCUUUUCUGUGAAAGAUUUAAUUUAAUAAAAAAUAUAUCUGAGA